Eremothecium gossypii ATCC 10895 is the source of this 74-nucleotide small nuclear RNA. Lineage: Eukaryota; Fungi; Ascomycota; Saccharomycetes; Saccharomycetales; Saccharomycetaceae. The record is from RefSeq.
CCUAAUGAUGAUACACACACUUAUUAGACGUUAGACUUCUGAUACCAAAGGAAGAGAAACGUAUAGCUAUCUGA